CCUACGGGAGGCAGCAGUGGGGAAUAUUGGGCAAUGGAGGAAACUCUGACCCAGCGACGCCGCGUGCGGGAUGAAGGCCUUCGGGUUGAAACCGCUUUCAGCAGGGAAGAAGCGAAAGUGACGGUACCUGCAGAAGAAGCACCGGCUAACUAUGUGCCAGCAGCCGCGGUAAU
This 173-nucleotide ribosomal RNA is filed under the name uncultured bacterium. RNAcentral's name for it is "partial 16S ribosomal RNA". It matches the Rfam family "Bacterial small subunit ribosomal RNA", at positions 338 to 524 of the family's 1533-position model. The record is from RNAcentral.